GUGCAAACCCACGCCAUAUCCCUGAAUCUGUUGUGGAAGAACAGAGAAUCCUUGACAGUGUGACAACCUGCCUGGGCUGCCGCGGGAAGCCAAAUCCGCCCCCACACAAACCCGAGUAAUUAACAGGUGGGGAAAAAUAGCAAGUAACUGCUGCUGAGGAGAGGAAAAAUAGUCAACCUAGUGAAUUAUGUAUAUUAAAGUAUAAUAUCUCUUUUGCAAUCCCUUUCCUAGUUCUUACUAGCAAGCUCUACUGGGUGGGCUCAGAUUUAUCAGUGAGGCCAUGCCCUGAGCAGAAUUGCCCUG
This 303-nucleotide long non-coding RNA is filed under the name Homo sapiens (human). RNAcentral describes it as "HSALNT0052894". The record is from RNAcentral. Lineage: Eukaryota; Metazoa; Chordata; Mammalia; Primates; Hominidae.